AGUGACAAUGGGAGAAGCUCUCUGGUUGUGUGCUCCUAUCCCUACAGCCACUCAUGAAAGUGCACCAGAAUGGAUGUUUGCAGGGCAACCUGAGGAACCAGACAGAAGACCUAAGGAGAACCAGAAAUAUUCCCUCUUUUUUAAGGUUUGCUGACUACAGUUCAAUUACCUACAAAGAGAGGUGUCAGCUGAGAUGAGUAGAAUUGGAAGAAAAUGUCUCUGGUUGUCUAAGGUACACUGCCAUAUUUCUAAUCUGUGGAUAAGCAGCAAUCAGCAAAACUCACAAUAAGCGAUACAGGAGCUGAUGUCACUGUAAUAUCGGAAGCAGAGUGGCCAAAGGAUUGGCCUGUUACCCUCCCUCGAGGAACUUUGUCAGGAGUUGGAGGUAAUGCCACGACAAAAAUAGUGGACCUACGUGGAUCCCAGCAAAACAGGUGAAACCGGCAGUAGAAAAGGAACCUUCAUUGGAUGGAUCAUCUUUGGAGCUGCAAUCAUCACAACAAUGACAGCAGGACCAUGGGCCAUCCAAACAAGACAAAACUUAUGGGUGUCUUUUGCAAACUUAACAGGGCAAGACUCAUUGUGUCUGUCAUUAGCCACACCCGGAGAUCCAUUCAGAACAUGUCUUAUUGGGAAGGCGGUAAAGGACUUUAAAGAUUUUUGGGAGUAUGUGAAUGAUGCUAGAGUCUUAAAUAACGUGCAAAAUGCUAGCGACAUUCAAAAGAUCAUUCAGGCAUUAAAUCACAUUGGGCCAGACCCUGAAGAAUUAAACAUUCUUGCAUCAGGAGGAAAUAAUAGUUGUGUGAGAUUUAGUAAGAGAGGAAGAGGCAAAGUCACAGUGGAAUCAUUGGGGUUAAUGACUCAAUUUCUCAGUACAAGGAUCAGGACAGAAAGAGUUAGGGCAUGGCUGGACGAUUCAGACAUGCAAGUUUUAGACCCACAUAAUCCUAUAUAUCAGAAUACAUCUUGGUGGUAUGGAGGACAAAUUAAAAUAGUUGAAUCAAAGUUAAUUGACAAACCAAGGAUGCCACCACCAGGAGUAUUUUUGAUUUGUGGUGAUAAAGCAUGACCUGGAGUCCCAGCCAAACCAACGGGAGGACCUUGUAUGUUAGGGAGAUUAACUAUGUUAGUCCCAUCCAUGAUGUAGUUAUUCAAACAAACAAAACAAAGGCAAAAAAGAGAUUUAGGAUAUCAGCAAGGUUGUAAUUUGAAGGUGGUUAAUUGGGGAAAAGCAGUAAGAGUAUUAGUAGCUUUGUUUGCUCCAAAUGUAGGUAUAGGUAAAGCUUUAGGUAACAUAGAUAAGUUGUCAUGUUGGGUGGUGAAGCAAAUGAAUUUAACCUCAGCUUUAAUAUCAGAAUUAGCAGUAGAUGUAAAUUCAGUAAGGCACGCAAUGCGUCAGAAUAUAGCAGCCAUAGAUUUUUUAUUGUUAGCUCAAGGGCAUGGAUGUGAGGAUUCUGAAGGAAUGUGUUGUAUGAAUUUGUCAGAUCAUAUGGAGUCCAUUCACAAACAAUUAAGACAAUUAAAAGAUUUGACCAAAGAUUUGAAGAGUAAAAAGGAUCCAGAAUAGUUAAGAGGGCUGUUAUAUGGAUGGGGGCAUCAUGGGAUGGUUACAAGAAGUAAUUCUCUGGGGAGGAAUGGUUUUAUUGGUGAUUUUGAUUGUUGAUGUUACCUUGCUUUUUGCAGUGUAUUCAAGGGGUGAUUCGAUGACAAUAUCAACAACUGCUUGCCUUGGUUGUUGAAAACAAAAAAGGGGGAAUUGUGGAGACAUUUUGCAUCAAUGAAGGCCAUGAUGCUCUUGAAGGCUUUUGAAUAACAGAAAAAUAAGGGCUUUGAAUAACAGAAAAAUAAGGUC
Tyto alba (common barn owl) is the source of this 1852-nucleotide long non-coding RNA. RefSeq lists it as uncharacterized. The transcript is spliced from 4 exons. The record is from RefSeq and is a predicted model, not a curated record. Lineage: Eukaryota; Metazoa; Chordata; Aves; Strigiformes; Tytonidae.